RNAcentral lists this long non-coding RNA (1367 nucleotides) under Homo sapiens (human). RNAcentral describes it as "HSALNT0294852". The record is from RNAcentral. Lineage: Eukaryota; Metazoa; Chordata; Mammalia; Primates; Hominidae.
UCUACAUGCACCAAUCAGCACUCUGUGUCUAGCUAAUCUGGUGGGGACCUGGAGAACUUUUAUGUCUAGCUAGAGGAUUGUAAAUGCACCAAUCAGCACUUUGUGUCUAGCUAGAGGAUUGUAAAUGCACCAAUCAGCACCCUGUCAAAAUGGACCAAUCAGCCCUUUGUAAAAUGGACCAAUCAGCUUUCUGUAAAAUGGACCAGUCAGCAGGAUGUGGGUGGGGCCAGAUAAGGCAAUAAAAGCAGGCUUCCCAAGUGAGCAGUGUGCAGGCAACCCACUCAGAUUUUUUUCCGUGGUGUGGAAGCUUGUUCUUUCAUUCUUGGCAAUAAAUCUCGCUGUUGUUCGCUCUUUGGGUCCGCGCUGCCCUUAUGAGCUGUAACACUCACCGUGAAGGUCUGCAGCUUCACCUCUGAAGCCAGCAAGACCACAAACUCACUGGAAAGAACAAACAACUCUGGAUGUACUGCCUUUAAGAGCUGUAACACUCACUGCAGAGGUCUGCAGCUUCACUCCUGAAAUCAGCAAGACCACGAACCCACCAGAAGGAAGAAACUCUGGACACAUGAGGAGGUUCCAUAUGAAUAUAACUUCUUGCCUAAGUUGGUUUAGGUAAGAAGACUCUUCAUGUGCCUGUUUCCUUCAAAUUUUAAGGAGAGCUCUUGCAUGGUGGUAGAACCGAGGACAGCCUAGACCUUCUGAUUGUCAACUCCUUGUUCCAUUGUGUCCAAACCUACAUGUCUGAACUCCUCUCAUCAAAGACUUCUCAAAGUUAUUAAUAACUGGGGAUCACGUAUUCAGUAAUUACACACAUCAGGCUCCAUGCUUUCUGUGCAGUAUGUAAAUUGAUUCAUUGUCAUACUAAUUAUAAAUGGCUAGUAUUAUUGCUGCUUUACAAAUGAGGCAUAUGACACACAGGGAGCUAAAUAAUUUGCCUAAGGUCACCCCACUUGUAAAUGAUGAAGCCAGGACUCAAGGCCAGGUCUGGCCACCCCUGAAUUUAAUAGCUUUAUCCUCUAUAUCUCUGUUUUCUCCCAGACCAAGGUGUCUGUACCUCUCUGCCAACAGAGAAAAGGGUUCAUUCAUUCAUCAAAUGUUUGUUGAGCAUCUAUUGUGACUCAGGCAAUAUCCUAGAUCAAGGAUUGUCAAACUUUUUCUAUAAAGGACAAGAGAGCAAACAUUUUAGGUCUCCUGGGUCAUACGGUCAGUCACUGUGAUUCAACUCUGCUGUUGUAGUACAAGAUUGUGAAAGCAGCCAUAGAUGAUAUGUCAAUGAAUGAGCAUGGUUGUGUUCCAAUAAAAUGUCACUUGCGAAAGCAGGCUGUGGGCUGGGUUUGGGCCAAGAGUUCUAUCCCUGCUCUAGGCAC